RNAcentral lists this ribosomal RNA (203 nucleotides) under uncultured bacterium. RNAcentral describes it as "partial 16S ribosomal RNA". It matches the Rfam family "Bacterial small subunit ribosomal RNA", at positions 28 to 222 of the family's 1533-position model. The record is from RNAcentral.
GACGAACGCUGGCGGCGUGCUUAACACAUGCAAGUCGAGCGGUAAGGCCCUUUCGGGGGUACGACGAGCGGCGAACGGGUGAGUAACACGUGGGUGACCUGCCCUCAGCUCGUGGGAAUAAGGACCCGUGGGAAAACCGGGUCUAAUACCGGAUAUGACUCCGUGACGCAUGUUGUGGGGUGGAAAAGCCUUUGUGCGGCUGA